UACGUAGGGGGCAAGCGUUGUCCGGAAUCAUUGGGCGUAAAGCGCGUGUAGGCGGUCCGAUCAGUCGGCUGUGAAAGUCCAGGGCUCAACCCUGGGAUGCCGGUCGAUACUGUCGGGCUAGAGUCCGGAAGAGGCGAGUGGAAUUCCCGGUGUAGCGGUGAAAUGCGCAGAUAUCGGGAGGAACACCAAUGGCGAAGGCAGCUCUCUGGGACGGUACUGACGCUGAGACGCGAAAGCGUGGGGAGCGAACAGG
This 253-nucleotide ribosomal RNA is filed under the name uncultured bacterium. RNAcentral's name for it is "partial 16S ribosomal RNA". It matches the Rfam family "Bacterial small subunit ribosomal RNA", at positions 524 to 776 of the family's 1533-position model. The record is from RNAcentral.